GACGAACGCUGGCGGCGUGCCUAAUACAUGCAAGUCGAACGCUUCUUUUUCCACCGGAGCUUGCUCCACCGGAAAAAGAGGAGUGGCGAACGGGUGAGUAACACGUGGGUAACCUGCCCAUCAGAAGGGGAUAACACUUGGAAACAGGUGCUAAUACCGUAUAACAAUCGAAACCGCAUGGUUUUGAUUUGAAAGGCGCUUUCGGGUGUCGCUGAUGGAUGGACCCGCGGUGCAUUAGCUAGUUGGUGAGGUAACGGCUCACCAAGGCGACGAUGCAUAGCCGACCUGAGAGGGUGAUCGGCCACAUUGGGACUGAGACACGGGCCCAAACUCCUACGGGAGGCAGCAGUAGGGAAUCUUCGGGCAAUGGACGAAGGUCUGACCGAGCAACGCCGCGUGAAGGAAGAAGUAUCUCGGGUAUGUAAACUUCUAUCAGCAGGGAAGAAAUGACGGUACCUG
RNAcentral lists this ribosomal RNA (459 nucleotides) under uncultured bacterium. RNAcentral describes it as "bacterial SSU rRNA". It matches the Rfam family "Bacterial small subunit ribosomal RNA", at positions 28 to 481 of the family's 1533-position model. The record is from RNAcentral.